GAUGAACGCUGGCGGCGUGCCUAAUACAUGCAAGUCGAGCGAACAGACGAGGAGCUUGCUCCUCUGACGUUAGCGGCGGACGGGUGAGUAACACGUGGAUAACCUACCUAUAAGACUGGGAUAACUUCGGGAAACCGGAGCUAAUACCGGAUAAUAUAUUGAACCGCAUGGUUCAAUAGUGAAAGACGGUUUUGCUGUCACUUAUAGAUGGAUCCGCGCCGCAUUAGCUAGUUGGUAAGGUAACGGCUUACCAAGGCAACGAUGCGUAGCCGACCUGAGAGGGUGAUCGGCCACACUGGAACUGAGACACGGUCCAGACUCCUACGGGAGGCAGCAGUCGGGAAUCUUCCGCAAAGGGCGAAAGCCUGACGGAGCAACGCCGCGUGAGUGAUGAAGGUCUUCGGAUCGUAAAACUCUGUUAUUAGGGAAGAACAAAUGUGUAAGUAACUAUGCACGUCUUGACGGUACCUAAUCAGAAAGCCACGGCUAACUACGUG
Molecule: ribosomal RNA, 497 nt
Filed under: uncultured bacterium
Lineage: Bacteria
Description: partial 16S ribosomal RNA
Rfam family: Bacterial small subunit ribosomal RNA
Source: RNAcentral